This 527-nucleotide ribosomal RNA is filed under the name uncultured bacterium. RNAcentral's name for it is "bacterial SSU rRNA". It matches the Rfam family "Bacterial small subunit ribosomal RNA", at positions 355 to 896 of the family's 1533-position model. The record is from RNAcentral.
UGGGGAAUUUUCCGCAAUGGGCGCAAGCCUGACGGAGCAAGACCGCGUGCGGGAGGACGGCCUAUUGGUUGUAAACCGCUUUUGAUAGGGAAGAAGAUCUGACGGUACCUAUCGAAUCAGCAUCGGCUAACUCCGUGCCAGCAGCCGCGGUAAUACGGAGGAUGCAAGCGUUAUCCGGAAUUAUUGGGCGUAAAGCGUCCGUAGGUGGUUAAUCAAGUCUGCUGUUAAAGCGUGCGGCUUAACCGCAUAUCAGCAGUGGAAACUGAUUGACUAGAGUGUGGUAGGGGUCAGGGGAAUUCCCAGUGUAGCGGUGAAAUGCGUAGAUACUGGGAAGAACACCGGUGGCGAAAGCGCCUGACUGGGCCUGCACUGACACUGAGGGACGAAAGCUAGGGGAGCGAAAGGGAUUAGAUACCCCGGUAGUCCUAGCCGUAAACGACGGACACUAGGUGUUGCCCGUAUCGACCCGGGCAGUGCCGUAGCCAACGCGUUAAGUGUCCCGCCUGGGGAGUACGCUCGCAAGAGUG